CCCAAACUGGGAUUAGAUACCCCACUAUGCUUAGCCUUAAACAUAAAUAAUUUGUCAAACAAGAUUAUUCGCCAGAGAACUACUAGCAACAGCUUAAAACUCAAAGGACUUGGCGGUGCUUUAAACCCCCCUAGAGGAGCCUGUUCUGUAAUCGAUAAACCCCGAUAGACCUCACCACCCCUUGCUAAUUCAGUUUAUAUACCGCCAUCUUCAGCAAACCCUUAAA
RNAcentral lists this ribosomal RNA (226 nucleotides) under Melursus ursinus (sloth bear). RNAcentral describes it as "partial small subunit ribosomal RNA". Lineage: Eukaryota; Metazoa; Chordata; Mammalia; Carnivora; Ursidae. The record is from RNAcentral.